This 374-nucleotide unclassified non-coding RNA is filed under the name soil metagenome. Its description in RNAcentral is "partial contains 5.8S ribosomal RNA, internal transcribed spacer 2, and large subunit ribosomal RNA". The stretch from base 5 to 119 matches the Rfam family "5.8S ribosomal RNA", at positions 40 to 154 of the family's 154-position model. The record is from RNAcentral.
GAUGAGAACGUAGCGAAAUGCGAUAAGUAAUGUGAAUUGCAGAAUUCAGUGAACCAUCGAAUCUUUGAACGCACAUUGCGCCCGGCAGUAAUCUGCCGGGCAUGCCUGUCCGAGCGUCAUUUCUCCCCUCGAGCGCAGCUUUCCCCCCCGGGGGAGGGCCGCGCCCGGUGUUGGGGCGCUACGGAGGAGCCCAGCGCUCCCCCGUAGGCCCCGAAAUGUAGUGGCGGUCCCGCCGCGGCGCCCCCUGCGUAGUAGUUUUACAACUCGCAUCGGGUCCCGGCGGAGGCCAGCCGUCAAACCCCCCAACUUCAAUAGUUUGACCUCGGAUCAGGUAGGGUUACCCGCUGAACUUAAGCAUAUCAAUAAGCGGAGGA